RNAcentral lists this small nuclear RNA (316 nucleotides) under Chinchilla lanigera (long-tailed chinchilla). RNAcentral describes it as "7SK RNA (ENSCLAG00000021487.1)". It matches the Rfam family "7SK RNA". Rfam says of the family: 7SK was discovered as an abundant small nuclear RNA in the mid-70s but a possible function has only recently been suggested. The record is from Rfam by way of RNAcentral. Lineage: Eukaryota; Metazoa; Chordata; Mammalia; Rodentia; Chinchillidae.
GGAUGUGAGGGUGAUCUGGCUGGGGUAUCUGUCACCCCAUUGAUCAUCAGGGUUGAUUCAACUGCUGUGGCUGGCUCAGCACAUGACCCCUUCCCCCCUCAACGCUCCAUGUGCGUCCCUCCAGAAGCCGCACACUUGGUCGAAGAGGACAACCAACUCCGACAGAGGAGGACCGUUCCCCGGUCAAGGGUAAAGGAGUAGCUGUGCUUCCCUACUAGGACCUCCAAACAAGCAGUCAGAGGUUUUAACCCUUUAUGCUUCCCUGGCCAAUUUGGAAGUGUCUGUUUCACCAAAAAUUGAUGCUCAGUCAAUAUUU